Rattus norvegicus (Norway rat) is the source of this 916-nucleotide long non-coding RNA. RefSeq lists it as uncharacterized. Lineage: Eukaryota; Metazoa; Chordata; Mammalia; Rodentia; Muridae. The record is from RefSeq and is a predicted model, not a curated record.
CUGGUGAGGACACUGCUGUCCGGUUUUGAACACUACAGGAAGAGUUGUGCUUGCUGUUUAACAAGUCUGGGUUCCUCCUUCCUCCUUCAUGAAAUGGGAUUUUCUCCUCUCCACCUCCCUCCCUCCCUCCCUCCCUCCCUCCUUUCCUCCCUCCAGCCUUCCCUUCUCUUCUUUCUCUCUCUUUCUUUCUUUCUUUCUUUCUUUCUUUCUUUCUUUCUUUCUUUCUUUCUUUCUUCCUCCCUCCCUCCCUCCCUCUCUCUCUCUCUCUCUCUCUCUCUCUCUCUCUCUCUCUCUCUCUCUCUCUCUCUCUCUCUCGAAUGGAAUUUAAGCUCAAAUGACUGUCUCAGCCAUGCCAAGUCAGUGGCUCUCAUCCCGGCGAGGAGAGAGACAGAGACAGCUUCUCUGAAGAGCUAUUGCAAAAUGCUUCAGCCCAGCCAGUCCCUUCAGCCCCACAUUCUGGCACACCUGUGCUGGGUGCACACCCCUGUGGGAGCCCACACCUGCUGUGGGCUGGGAAGAAUCAGGAAGAGACAAAGACAUUACCUGGCUUCAAUCAAGGCAUUUCCUACAGCACCCAGCCAACAGCAGGAAAUGUUCUCGCUCGGGUUAUAUCUAGUUUUUCUCUGCAACAGGGACCCAAGACCAAAACAUUUUAACAUGAAUACGCAUUGGAACUGAAAUUCUUGGGUCUUGCAAGAAGAAGUCUUUGUCCCACAACCUACCCCAUGCUGGACUUGAACCUGUGCACUGCCACAUACUGUUCAUUCAGUGCCGAAGAUCAAAGCCGGAGUUCUAUGCUCUCUAGCUAAACACUCUACCAUUUAUCAUGUCAUGUGUGUUAGGUAGGAGAAAACCUUUUCCCUUCUCAGCUUCAGGGAUUAGCAUUUACACAUUAAAUGGUUGGAAGACAGCUGAA